AUUGAACGCUGGCGGCAGGCUUAACACAUGCAAGUCGAGCGGAGUGAUGGUGCUUGCACUAUCACUUAGCGGCGGACGGGUGAGUAAUGCUUAGGAAUCUGCCUAUUAGUGGGGGACAACAUCUCGAAAGGGAUGCUAAUACCGCAUACGUCCUACGGGAGAAAGCAGGGGAUCACUUGUGACCUUGCGCUAAUAGAUGAGCCUAAGUCGGAUUAGCUAGUUGGUGGGGUAAAGGCCUACCAAGGCGACGAUCUGUAGCGGGUCUGAGAGGAUGAUCCGCCACGCUGGGACUGAGACACGGCCGAGACUCCUACGGGGGGCAGCAGUGGGGAAUCUUGGACAGUGGGGGGGACCCUGAUCCAGCCAUGCCGCGUGUGUGAAGAAGGCCUUAUGGUUGUCAAGCACUUUAAGCGAGGAGGAGGCUCUUUUGGUUAAUACCCAAGAUGAGUGGACGUUACUCGCAGAAUAAGCACCGGCUAACUCUGUGCCAGCCGCCGCCGUAA
RNAcentral lists this ribosomal RNA (503 nucleotides) under uncultured bacterium. RNAcentral describes it as "partial 16S ribosomal RNA". It matches the Rfam family "Bacterial small subunit ribosomal RNA", at positions 30 to 523 of the family's 1533-position model. The record is from RNAcentral.